RNAcentral lists this non-coding RNA (45 nucleotides) under Schistosoma curassoni. Lineage: Eukaryota; Metazoa; Platyhelminthes; Trematoda; Strigeidida; Schistosomatidae. The record is from RNAcentral.
AUCCAGAUAACGAGUCCCAAAUAGGACGAAACACGCAUCCUGGAU